AGAGUUUGAUCAUGGCUCAGAACGAACGCUGGCGGCAUGCCUAACACAUGCAAGUCGAACGAGACCUUCGGGUCUAGUGGCGCACGGGUGCGUAACGCGUGGGAACCUGCCUUUAGGUUCGGAAUAACUCAGAGAAAUUUGAGCUAAUACCGGAUAAUGUCUUCGGACCAAAGAUUUAUCGCCUUUAGAUGGGCCCGCGUUGGAUUAGCUAGUUGGUGGGGUAAAGGCCUACCAAGGCGACGAUCCAUAGCUGGUCUGAGAGGAUGAUCAGCCACACUGGGACUGAGACACGGCCCAGACUCCUACGGGAGGCAGCAGUGGGGAAUAUUGGACAAUGGGCGAAAGCCUGAUCCAGCAAUGCCGCGUGAGUGAUGAAGGCCUUAGGGUUGUAAAGCUCUUUUGCCCGAGAUGAUAAUGACAGUAUCGGGAGAAUAAGCUCCGGCUAACUCCGUG
RNAcentral lists this ribosomal RNA (453 nucleotides) under uncultured bacterium. RNAcentral describes it as "bacterial SSU rRNA". It matches the Rfam family "Bacterial small subunit ribosomal RNA", at positions 8 to 507 of the family's 1533-position model. The record is from RNAcentral.